CCAUCCGCGCGUGACUGGCGAUGAAGGUGGGCGACCACCGGGGAGCGCGCGGGCGAUAGACGCCGCUCGCCUGGGCCCCCUUC
Molecule: non-coding RNA, 83 nt
Filed under: Phenylobacterium zucineum
Lineage: Bacteria; Pseudomonadati; Pseudomonadota; Alphaproteobacteria; Caulobacterales; Caulobacteraceae
Also listed under: 1 other name
Description: ZTP sequence
Rfam family: ZMP/ZTP riboswitch aptamer (pfl RNA motif)
About the family: Previously known as pfl RNA.
Source: RNAcentral